CUUUAAUGUGUUUAAGCAUUUAAAACCAUACAGUACAAGAGAAAUUAAGGAACAAAUAAAUACCAAAUAAAUACCAAAGUUUCUAUAGAUACAGGUUAUCUUUGCAUUAAGUAUCACUGUGGGAUAUUGCAUGAUGCAUCUAAUAAAAUGAACAUCAAAACCAUCUAAAUAUAUUUAAAUAUUUGUAUUGCACAAAUUCAUAUAAUUAGGUACAUUCUAUUGAAACUACUUUUACAUUUUAAAUUGCAUGAACAAUAUGGCAGUUUAUAUGUAUACUCAGAGGUCAGGGUUAAGGCGUUUUACUAUAUGCCGUCAAUUGAAGUUGCACUGCAUUUUUUUUUUUUUUAACAUUAUAGUAAAACUACGUUUAAGCUAUGAUGAUGCUUAAAUACAAUGUGAUAAUUUAUCAAGAAGCCCGAAGUACAAAUUGCUAUAUCGACAAUUUAAUGUUAUGUACACGUUCAUUGUUUAAAUCUUAUAUAUGCUGACAAUAUAAAUAUAAUUACAAAUUGUUACUACUUGAAUCCAUAAAAAAAUAGUUUAUGACGAAGACAAAUCAGUCCCGAGGAGUUUUACUCUGAGCCGUCUCACCUGAGUCUUCCUAGCUUCAAGCCUAGGGUAUGACAUCAAAGAAUCCGUAGGUUAGGAUUUCGCCGACAUACCCUGACUGAAAGAGAUGCUUAUCUCAUAUUUGAUUUUCCUGUAACGUCAUUGUAUCAUUUUUUCAUCGAGUUGCUUACUGUGAAGUAGAGAAUUACACACACGCACAUACAAUAUGCACACCACAUAUUAAUACGAUGCGUUAUCCAGCGAUGUAUGUUUCAACUGUACUCCUUAAUAUGAACACGAUAUCAAGAGUAAGCAUAUGUGCAUAUCGAGCUUCAAACAUUUUCAUACAGGAUAUUUAUACCAAACCAAACCAUUGUUGUUGUCUUUUUGAGAUGACUUGGGGUAAAGAUCUUGACUAAUUCUACCUAUUUUCUUAAAUGAAUACAACCCUCUCUUAAGAUGUAUUCGAUGUACGAUGCUGUAUAUGGUCCUUUGUUAUAAACAAAUGUGCCAGUUGAAACAAAAACAAAUAAGAGAAAUCGUUAGAUCUCAUACAGGUAUUUCAUAAGUUCCAGGUGUCAAACUAAGAACAGACAACGUUAGAUCUCAUACAGGUAUUUCAUAAGUUCCAGGUGUCAAACUUGGAACAGAAAACGUUAGAUCUUAUACAGGUAUUUCAUAAGUUCCAGGUGUCAAACUAAGAACAGACAACGUUAGAUCUCAUACAGGUAUUUCAUAAGUUCCAGGUGUCAAACUUGGAACAGAAAACGUUAGAUCUUAUACAGGUAUUUCAUAAGUUCCAGGUGUCAAACUAAGAACAGACAACGUUAGAUCUUAUACAGGUAUUUCAUAAGUUCUAGGUGUCAAACUUUGAACAGAAAACGUUAGAUCUCAUACAGGUGUUUAAUCAGUUUCAGGUGUCAAACUUAGAACAGAAAACGUUAGAUCUCAUACAGGUGUUUCAUCAGUUCCAGGUGUCAAACUUAGAACAGAAAACG
Molecule: long non-coding RNA, 1547 nt
Filed under: Mizuhopecten yessoensis (Yesso scallop)
Lineage: Eukaryota; Metazoa; Mollusca; Bivalvia; Pectinida; Pectinidae
Description: uncharacterized LOC110449108, transcript variant X2
Source: RNAcentral